This 239-nucleotide long non-coding RNA is filed under the name Oryzias sinensis (Chinese medaka). RNAcentral describes it as "lncRNA (ENSOSIG00000010383.1)". The record is from RNAcentral. Lineage: Eukaryota; Metazoa; Chordata; Actinopteri; Beloniformes; Adrianichthyidae.
GUAGUGCGGCCAACCUCUGGUUGGAAGAUCACAGGUUAGUUCAGUAUUCCACACUGGGACGCGCCGUAUCCCGUCUUCUCCACGCGCGGGGCUUCUCGACGCAAAGGCGCACCGACCGCUCUAAGCCUCUGCAGUGGAGUACACACCUGGACCUGGUCUAGAUCUGGUUUAAGUCUGCUCACACUCCGCAACCGCUCAUUGCACAGCAGGUGAGCUGAAGCGGCGGGCGAUUGGGAACG